This is a long non-coding RNA of Myzus persicae (green peach aphid), 1003 nucleotides long. RefSeq lists it as uncharacterized. NCBI's taxonomy places the organism in Eukaryota, Metazoa, Arthropoda, Insecta, Hemiptera, Aphididae. The transcript is spliced from 4 exons. The record is from RefSeq and is a predicted model, not a curated record.
UCGUUGUUGGCGAUCCCAACUGUUAGUUGACCAAUGUAAUCAUAGUAAAUGUACGUGUGACUUACUAACUUAACUAUUAACUUAUAAUUUUUUUAUAUACUAGUUGAAGCGGUUCACAAAUUUUAUCUAAUGAUACCUUUAUGUUAAUAAUUCAUAAAAUAUAGCUACACCAUUGGCUAAUAUUAUAUUUCAUCGGAUGUUAUAACUAAUUAAUGGUAUCUGCUUACUUCGACGCUGAAUAAAGACUGAAAAAUACGUCACAGUUAUGAUCAGUGCGAGAUUAAUAUCGUUGAUUAUUUGAAUAACAUCGAGUGCUGUUAAAGAUAAAGAGCUGGUCUACCUGGUCAUUAAGACAAUGCGUUGUAUAAUAUACGUUUAAUACUUUAAUGUACUGCGUUUUACUAUAGACUUUGUUUAAUAAUUAUCAGUGGUGCCGAAUUAUCAAGAAUAAGUAUACUCAAGGACUAUAUUUUAAAAUGCUUAGAUUUUUUUAUAAUCAACUUCUUUUUUCAAACGAGAAUCACUCUUUCCGGGAGUGACGGUGCUCAUGGAAUUUUCCAUACUGUUAACACUACUACGAUUUACUCUGUGAGUACCGUUGAAUAUAAAUAAAUAAACUACAUUCUAAUUUCAUCAUCAAGCAGCUUUAAAUCUGUUCUUCUUGUACUUACAAGUUUAAUUGUAUACAAUUUAUAAAUCGAUAUAAUGUUGUGCCACACAUUUAGUGUAAAUUACAAUUAUAAUUUUGUACGCUGUAAUUUAAACGAUCCUCGACAACUAUAAUUAUUGCAUAAUUUAUUACAAUUGUCUUGCUGGUGCGUUAUGGUAGUUUUCUUUUGUUUCAUCUAUCUAAUUGUGGUUUGAAUAAUCCACUUAAAUAUUUAAAAGUGAACAUGUUAAUUAUAUUGAAAGGAUUGUAACUAUUGUUUUUAAGUAUGGAAUUAUUUUUCUCACUCUACUUCACAGCUCAUGAAAAGUAGUUCAAUAGUUAUACAAUGUCCAU